AAGUCGUAACAAGGUUUCCGUAGGUGAACCUGCGGAAGGAUCAUUAACAAAAAUUUAAGAAGGUGGUGGUGAGUGCUUACUUGGAUGUGCUAACGUCUUGGUAGUACGGGCCAACAUCUUGAACCUUUGUGAAUUGGGCAAAGUAAAUUUUCAAGAGGUUCACUUUGCUUAGACGGGGAAGCGGAUUUAUAUGUAUAUGUAUAUGUAUAUGUAUAUAUAUGUAUAUGUAUAUGAACUAAGAAGAUGCACUAGCAUUUAUAUUAUUCAUAUUCAUAUUAAUAUUUUUAAUGUCUAAUUUUUCAUUUCUUGUUGAAAGACAGAAAUCAAUAAUCAAAACAACUUUUAACAAUGGAUCUCUAGGCUCUU
This 366-nucleotide unclassified non-coding RNA is filed under the name fungal sp. RNAcentral's name for it is "partial internal transcribed spacer region". The stretch from base 1 to 46 matches the Rfam family "Eukaryotic small subunit ribosomal RNA", at positions 1786 to 1831 of the family's 1831-position model. The record is from RNAcentral. Lineage: Eukaryota; Fungi.